RNAcentral lists this ribosomal RNA (434 nucleotides) under uncultured bacterium. RNAcentral describes it as "partial 16S ribosomal RNA". It matches the Rfam family "Bacterial small subunit ribosomal RNA", at positions 29 to 507 of the family's 1533-position model. The record is from RNAcentral.
AGCGAACGCUGGCGGCAGGCCUAACACAUGCAAGUCGAACGAACCUUUCGGGGUUAGUGGCGGACGGGUGAGUAACAUGUGGGACCGUGCCUUUAGGUUCGGAAUAACUCAGGGAAACUUGUGCUAAUACCGAAUGUGUCCUUCGGGGGAAAGAUUUAUCGCCUUUAGAGCGGCCCGCGUCUGACUAGCUAGUUGGUUGAGGUAAUGGCGCUCCAAGGCGACGAUCAGUAGCUGGUCUGAGAGGAUGAUCAGCGACAUUGGGACUGAGACACGGCCCAAACUCCUACGGGAGGCAGCAGUGGGGAAUCUUGCGCAAUCGGCGAAAGCCUGACGCAGCCAGGCCGCGUGAAUGAUGAAGGUCUUAGGAUUGUAAAAUUCUUUCACCGGGGACGAUAAUGACGGUACCCGGAGAAGAAGCCCCGGCUAACUUCGUG